RNAcentral lists this long non-coding RNA (431 nucleotides) under Dermacentor andersoni. RNAcentral describes it as "uncharacterized LOC126516876". Lineage: Eukaryota; Metazoa; Arthropoda; Arachnida; Ixodida; Ixodidae. The record is from RNAcentral.
UUACCGCAUACCGCACCAUUAGAAAAGGGAAACCAAGCCAAACAUCGUAGCCUGUUGCAGUAUUGCUUAAGGGCCAAGAGGUGACAAAUGCCGCAAGGCCACCAAUCCCUCCUUGAUCGACGCUAGCGCCAAGUACCCGACGGGGCUGUUCCAGGGCACGUGGUCCGACCUGGGCGCCUUCGACGAGUGCAUCGAGACCGUGGCCCUCGACCGGAACGGCGGCGAAAUGGCGCGCGGCCAGUACUGCAACGUCUACGUGAAGAUGGCCAACGACACCUCAUUCUUCGACGAGAUGCUGCCUAACUUCAUCAUGGCCCACGAGCGGUCUCCGGUUCUGCUGCGUGCGCAAGAGGACAAGCGAGUGCUGGGAAUGCGCCUGGGUCUUUGCACCAUCGCCGACUGCACCAGAGACGAUCUUCAAGCCCUCGCCG